AAAAAUAGAAUUUGGCAGAAUGUGAAAAAUGAAAUGCAAUACAUCCUAAUUUUCUAUAUGAACCAAGAUAUCAUGGAAUAAAUAUUUGAACACUUGUAUAUCAUAUUAGUGAAAGUUUUUGAUAUACCAAUGAUGAUACUUGAUCCUUUGAAAUGAUAUACUUCACUUGAAUCUUUACUCCACUUCAAUUCACUUCAAGUCUUUGACAACUUUUUGAUCUUUUCACAUGAGAAUUGUUUAGAGAUGUUGUAAUCAUCAAAAUCAUCAAGAAGCCAUGACUUCACAAUC
RNAcentral lists this long non-coding RNA (288 nucleotides) under Lathyrus oleraceus (garden pea). Its description in RNAcentral is "Pisum sativum (pea) long non-coding RNA (PSAT_LNC033966)". Lineage: Eukaryota; Viridiplantae; Streptophyta; Magnoliopsida; Fabales; Fabaceae. The record is from RNAcentral.